GUAUCCUGGCUCAGGAUGAACGCUAGCUACAGGCUUAACACAUGCAAGUCGAGGGGCAGCGGGAUUGAAGCUUGCUUCAAUUGCCGGCGACCGGCGCACGGGUGAGUAACGCGUAUCCAACCUUCCGUACACUCAGGGAUAGCCUUUCGAAAGAAAGAUUAAUACCUGAUGGUAUCUUAAGCACACAUGUAAUUAGNUUAAGAUUUAUCGGUGUACGAUGGGGAUGCGUUCCAUUAGGUAGUAGGG
RNAcentral lists this ribosomal RNA (246 nucleotides) under uncultured bacterium. RNAcentral describes it as "partial 16S ribosomal RNA". It matches the Rfam family "Bacterial small subunit ribosomal RNA", at positions 14 to 253 of the family's 1533-position model. The record is from RNAcentral.